Molecule: small RNA, 1570 nt
Filed under: Pan troglodytes (chimpanzee)
Lineage: Eukaryota; Metazoa; Chordata; Mammalia; Primates; Hominidae
Description: retained intron
Source: RNAcentral
GCUCUCCUCCUUCCCGCUCGGUCCGCCGGUUCGCUCAGUUCUAGCUUCAGGUUCCACGCCGCGGCCUCGCUCUCCUACUAGAGCCAGCCCAGCAGUCGCAGCGCGCACACGCACGCCCCGCGUCUCCCGCGCCCGGCGCCCGGCUCUCCCCACGCGCGCACACCUCGCGCACGGACGCACCCACGUUUGUCCUCGCGCGCCGGGGGCUCGGCGGCGGCGGCAGGGGCAGCGGCAGAAGCAGGCAGACCGCGCGGGGCAGUACCGUAGCGGCCGUCACGGGCUGGCCGGCCAGCCAUGGAGGCUGAUGGGGCCGGCGAGCAGAUGAGACCGCUACUCACCCGGGGUCCUGAUGAAGAAGCUGUUGUGGAUCUUGGCAAAACUAGCUCAACUGUGAACACCAAGUUUGAAAAAGAAGAACUAGAAAGUCAUAGAGCUGUAUAUAUUGGUGUUCACGUCCCGUUUAGUAAAGAGAGUCGUCGGCGUCAUAGGCAUCGCGGACACAAACAUCACCACCGGAGAAGAAAAGAUAAAGAAUCAGAUAAAGAAGAUGGACGGGAAUCUCCUUCUUAUGAUACACCAUCCCAGAGAGUUCAGUUUAUCCUUGGUACUGAAGAUGAUGAUGAAGAACAUAUUCCCCAUGAUCUCUUCACGGAAAUGGAUGAACUGUGUUACAGAGAUGGAGAAGAAUAUGAAUGGAAAGAAACUGCUAGAUGGCUGAAAUUUGAAGAGGAUGUUGAAGAUGGCGGUGACCGAUGGAGUAAACCUUAUGUGGCAACUCUCUCUUUGCACAGUCUUUUUGAACUAAGGAGUUGCAUCCUCAAUGGAACAGUCAUGCUGGAUAUGAGAGCAAGCACUCUAGAUGAAAUAGCAGAUAUGGUAUUAGACAACAUGGUAGCUUCUGGCCAAUUAGACGAGUCCAUACGAGAGAAUGUCAGAGAAGCUCUUCUGAAGAGACAUCAUCAUCAGAAUGAGAAAAGAUUCACCAGUCGGAUUCCUCUUGUUCGAUCUUUUGCAGAUAUAGGCAAGAAACAUUCUGACCCUCACUUGCUUGAAAGGAAUGGUAUUUUGGCCUCUCCCCAGUCUGCUCCUGGAAACUUGGACAAUAGUAAAAGUGGAGAAAUUAAAGGUAAUGGAAGUGGUGGAAGCAGAGAAAAUAGUACUGUUGACUUCAGCAAGGUAAUUCUAUCAUUAACUGAAAAUUCUCAUAAUUAUUCUUACUGAGGAAAUAAGUAGUAAUUUGUGGCUAAUGUUAUUAACAUUGAUGAUAGUAAUUUUUUAGUAGACUGGUGCUUACAAACCUGCAUGUGAUGUCUGUGAUGUUAAUUUAAGGUAAAAACUGUGAGAAGGGUUACAGUUAACCUGUGAGUACUUGAAUAACUUUACACCAUUACUAGUGUUAGAAAUUCUGAAAAAGAAUAUGUGAAUAAUACGAUAUUUCCAUCCAUACCUACCCAUAGAUACUGUGAAACGUCAGUACUUUUUGAACUACAGUCAUUUGUUCUGGAGCUACCACCACUAGAACGUUAAUUCUGGGAGUGAUGUUACAGCACUAAUGAUUCAGUCUUUCCUG